CAGCAGCCGCGGUAAAACGGAGGGGGCUAGCGUUGUUCGGAAUUACUGGGCGUAAAGCGCACGUAGGCGGCUUUUUAAGUCAGAGGUGAAAGCCCGGGGCUCAACUCCGGAACUGCCUUUGAGACUGGAAGGCUUGAACGUCGGAGAGGUGAGUGGAAUUCCGAGUGUAGAGGUGAAAUUCGUAGAUAUUCGGAAGAACACCAGUGGCGAAGGCGGCUCACUGGACGACUGUUGACGCUGAGGUGCGAAAGCGUGGGGAGCAAACAGGAUUAGAGAACCCGGUAGUCCCUGUCUCUUAUAC
This 301-nucleotide ribosomal RNA is filed under the name uncultured bacterium. RNAcentral's name for it is "partial 16S ribosomal RNA". It matches the Rfam family "Bacterial small subunit ribosomal RNA", at positions 509 to 807 of the family's 1533-position model. The record is from RNAcentral.